This 24-nucleotide non-coding RNA is filed under the name Arabidopsis thaliana (thale cress). Lineage: Eukaryota; Viridiplantae; Streptophyta; Magnoliopsida; Brassicales; Brassicaceae. The record is from RNAcentral.
UCCUUCUCUUCAGGUUGAUGUGCA